GACGAACGCUGGCGGCGUGCUUAACACAUGCAAGUCGAACGGAAAGGCCCCCACCUUGGUGGGGGUGCUCGAGUGGCGAACGGGUGAGUAACACGUGGGUGAUCUGCCCUGUACUUCGGGAUAAGCUUGGGAAACUGGGUCUAAUACCGGAUAGGACCAUGGUUUAGUGUCUCAUGGUGGAAAAAUUAUUGUUUUGGUGCAGGAUGAGCUCGCGGCCUAUCAGCUUGUUGGUGGGGUAAUGGCCUACCAAGGCGCCGACGGGUAGCCGGACUGAGAGGGUGGACGGCCGCAGUGGGACUGAGAUACGGCCCAGAGUCCUACGGGAGGGAGCAGUGGGGAAUAUUGCACAAGGGGCGCAAGCCUGAUGCAGCGACGCCGCGUGGGGGAUGACGGCCUUCGGGUGGUAAACUCCUUUCGUUAGGGACGAAGCCACACCUUUUUUGGGUGUGGUGACGGUACCUUUGUGAAGAAGCACCGGCUAACUACGUG
RNAcentral lists this ribosomal RNA (489 nucleotides) under uncultured bacterium. RNAcentral describes it as "partial 16S ribosomal RNA". It matches the Rfam family "Bacterial small subunit ribosomal RNA", at positions 28 to 507 of the family's 1533-position model. The record is from RNAcentral.